CAAGUCGAGCGCUCUCUUCGGAGGGAGCGACGGACGGGUUAGUAACGCGUGGGAACGUGCCCUUCUCUACGGAAUAGCCUCGGGAAACUGGGAGUAAUACCGUAUACGCCCUUUGGGGGAAAGAUUUAUCGGAGAAGGAUCGGCCCGCGUUGGAUUAGGUAGUUGGUGGGGUAAUGGCCUACCAAGCCUACGAUCCAUAGCUGGUUUGAGAGGAUGAUCAGCAACACUGGGACUGAGACACGGCCCAG
RNAcentral lists this ribosomal RNA (248 nucleotides) under uncultured bacterium. RNAcentral's name for it is "partial 16S ribosomal RNA". It matches the Rfam family "Bacterial small subunit ribosomal RNA", at positions 58 to 334 of the family's 1533-position model. The record is from RNAcentral.